Molecule: non-coding RNA, 395 nt
Organism: Odocoileus virginianus texanus
Lineage: Eukaryota; Metazoa; Chordata; Mammalia; Artiodactyla; Cervidae
Source: RefSeq, a predicted model, not a curated record
CAACUUAGUGCUUUGACUUACUCUGAAUUUUGAGUUCUAUUAGGAAAGGCGUUGAAGACAAGACGUCCUGAGAUGUCCAUGGGGUGUCACAGUGGAUGUGGCAUCGUUGGCAGAUGAUGACAACAUGGCUUAGGGGGGCCUCUGUGGCCAUUCAUCUUGGUGAGCAGAGAUCACAUUGCCACUUCUAAUGAUCAGACGAAAGCAUCUGUCUUGGCAUCCUGUCCCCUUCAGAACCCACACUGGAUUCAUUUUGUCUUCACAGCUCCCCUGGAGUGUCCUUCUGAGCCUCAUGCCAGCCCUCUGCCCAUGUGCGAACACAGGGGAGAGCAAUACAGUUACCGCAGAAAAUCAGAGAUUUCACAGAAACGAUGAUUUUUGAGCUGAGUGUUAACACA